Molecule: ribosomal RNA, 307 nt
Filed under: Rickettsiales bacterium
Lineage: Bacteria; Pseudomonadati; Pseudomonadota; Alphaproteobacteria; Rickettsiales
Description: bacterial LSU rRNA
Rfam family: Bacterial large subunit ribosomal RNA
Source: RNAcentral
UUAGAACGUCGUGAGACAGUUCGGUCCCUAUCUGCCAUGGGUGUUGGAUACUUGAGAGGAGCUGUCCCUAGUACGAGAGGACCGGGAUGGACAUACCUCUGGUGUACCGGUUGUAACGCCAGUUGCAUAGCCGGGUAGCUAAGUAUGGACGGGAUAACCGCUGAAAGCAUCUAAGCGGGAAGCCUCCCUCAAAACUAGGUAUCCCAUGAGAGUCGUGGAAGACUACCACGUUGAUAGGCUAGGUGUAGAAGUGUGGUGACACAUGAAGCUAACUAGUACUAAUAACUCGAUUGAACUUUAUUUUACU